UAGUCAAGAUGACCUUCUAAUAGACCACUUGUUUCUAUAUCAAUUGCCUUGAUGGAUUUCCGUAGCUAAGCCAAUCCCCUGGACCAAUGUCUUUCUUGUUAGAAACUUAAGGCCUACCUGAUACCUGUCUCAUCAUUUCUUUUAUAAUUCUGUGCACUUUGAUGGGAUCGAUCCUGUUAAGCUAAUCGUUUUUCUUUCCACGAGACAUACGGAUCGGAUCUGCUAUAGCAGGAGGAGCAAAUCAUUUCUUUUAUAACUCUGUGCACUUUGUUACUUAUUCUUUUCUUUUAUAUUCUCCUCAUACGCAGGAGGAGCAAAAGCAGUUCAUGUACCAACAAAAGUUGAAUGCUUGGCUGGAAUCACCAUUAGGAUGGAAGCUUUGGGAUCAGAGCACUCAAUGGCUGUUACUGAUGGUCAUAUGGGGUAACUUUAUAUGUGAUGUUGAUGGGAUCAUAUCCUUUUGAGGAUCCAAAUGAACCCAAAUGAACCAAAGGAUAUCAGGAAGACUAUACAAUGACGGUGCAGCUGCAUUAGUGAUAGUGAGUGGGGAGAAGGCACUUGAACUUGGGUUACAUGUUCUUGUUCUUUGAUACAUCAUUUUGAUAAUGCAAAGUGCUUUCUCUUAAAAAGAAGUGGGAGAGGAGAAGCAACCAUGUUUAUACCCAAGUGGAUAUUGAUGAGAUGAGGAAUGAGUGGGCUAGGUUUGUGGUUAAUAAAUACGUGUAGAAGCCAUCG
Long non-coding RNA from Rosa rugosa (rugosa rose), 735 nucleotides. RefSeq lists it as uncharacterized. Lineage: Eukaryota; Viridiplantae; Streptophyta; Magnoliopsida; Rosales; Rosaceae. The transcript has 4 exons. The record is from RefSeq and is a predicted model, not a curated record.